RNAcentral lists this ribosomal RNA (498 nucleotides) under uncultured bacterium. Its description in RNAcentral is "bacterial SSU rRNA". It matches the Rfam family "Bacterial small subunit ribosomal RNA", at positions 28 to 526 of the family's 1533-position model. The record is from RNAcentral.
GACGAACGCUGGCGGCGUGCUUAACACAUGCAAGUGGAGCGACGAACCAGGGCUUGCCCUGGGGCAGAGCCGCGAACGGGUGAGUAACACGUGGGUUACCUGCCCCGAUGACCGGGACAACCCGAGGAAACUCGGGCUAAUACCGGAUGUGGUCUUCGGACGAAAGGAAGCUUCGGCCUCCGCAUCGGGAUGGGCCCGCGGCGCAUUAGCUUGUUGGUGGGGUAACGGCCUACCAAGGCGACGAUGCGUAGCUGGUCUGAGAGGACGAUCAGCCACACUGGGACUGAGACACGGCCCAGACUCCUACGGGAGGCAGCAGUGGGGAAUCUUGCGCAAUGCGCGAAAGCGUGACGCAGCAACGCCGCGUGAGGGAAGACGGCCUUCGGGUUGUAAACCUCUUUCAGUUGGGACGAAGCUUCUGCCGUUAAUAGCGGUAUGGAGUGACGGUACCUUCAGAAGAAGCCCCGGCUAACUACGUGCCAGCCGCCGCCGUAACAC